GACGAACGCUGGCGGCGUGCUUAACACAUGCAAGUCGAACGAAGUGGCGAACGGGUGAGUAACGUGUAAUCAACCUGCCCUUUAGUGGGGGACACCAGUUGGAACCGACCCCUAAUACCGCAUACUGAUGGCGGGGAUUGCGUCUGAUUAGCUCGUUGGAGGGGUAACGGCCGACCAAGGCGAUGGUCAGUAGCCGGUCGGAGAGGAUGACCGGCCACAUUGGGACUGAGACACGGCCCAGACGCCUACGGGAGGCAGCAGUAGGGAAUCUUGGUGAAUGAGCGUUAGCCGGAACCAGCAAAGUAGCGUGAAGGAUGAAGGUCUAUGGGUCGUAAACUUCUUUUAUAUAAGAAUAUGUAUUAGAUGAAUAAGGAUCGGCUAACUCCGUGCCAGCAGCCGCGGUAAUUC
This 408-nucleotide ribosomal RNA is filed under the name uncultured bacterium. RNAcentral describes it as "partial 16S ribosomal RNA". It matches the Rfam family "Bacterial small subunit ribosomal RNA", at positions 28 to 526 of the family's 1533-position model. The record is from RNAcentral.